CCUGCCCACUGAUUAAUUGAAUGGCCGCAGUAAUUUGACUGUGCAAAGGUAGCAUAAUCAUUAGUUUUUUAAUUAAAAGCUUGUAUGAAGGGUUGGACGAGGUAAGAUCUGUCUCUAUUUAAUUUAUUAUAGAAUUUAAUUUUUAAGUUAAAAAGCUUAAAUUUUAAUAAAAGACGAGAAGACCCUAUAGAUCUUUAUAUUUAUAUUAUUAAUUUUAUUUAGGAUUAUUUUAUUUUUUAUUAAUAAAAAUAUUUUAUUGGGGUAAUAGAGAGAUUAAAUAAAUUCUUUUUUUUUAUUAUAUAGAUUAAUAAAUAUUUGAUCCAAUUAUUUUGAUUAUAAGAUUAAGUUACCUUAGGGAUAACAGCGUAAUUUUUUUAGAGAGUUCAUAUCGAUAAGAAAGUUUGCGACCUCGAUGUUGGAUUAAAAAUUGUUU
This 433-nucleotide ribosomal RNA is filed under the name Copelatus sp. MB 785. RNAcentral describes it as "partial 16S ribosomal RNA". The record is from RNAcentral. Lineage: Eukaryota; Metazoa; Arthropoda; Insecta; Coleoptera; Dytiscidae.